This 422-nucleotide ribosomal RNA is filed under the name uncultured bacterium. Its description in RNAcentral is "bacterial SSU rRNA". It matches the Rfam family "Bacterial small subunit ribosomal RNA", at positions 355 to 774 of the family's 1533-position model. The record is from RNAcentral.
UAAGGAAUAUUGGACAAUGGAGGCAACUCUGAUCCAGCCAUGCCGCGUGAAGGAAUAAGGCCCUAUGGGUUGUAAACUUCUUUUAGACGGGACAAAACCCCUUUACGUGUAAAGGGUUGAUGGUACUGUCAGAAUAAGCAUCGGCUAACUUCGUGCCAGCAGCCGCGGUAAUACGAAGGAUGCAAGCGUUAUCCGGAAUUAUUGGGUUUAAAGGGUGCGUAGGCGGACUAAUAAGUCAGUGGUGAAAGCCUGCAGCUUAACUGCAGAAUUGCCAUUGAUACUGUUAGUCUUGAGUACAGUUGAGGUAGGCGGAAUGUGUCAUGUAGCGGUGAAGUGCUUAGAUAUGACAUAGAACACCGAUUGCGAAGGCAGCUUACUACAUAUAAAUUGACGCUGAGGCAGGAAAGCGUGGGGAUCAAACA